Molecule: ribosomal RNA, 254 nt
Filed under: uncultured bacterium
Lineage: Bacteria
Description: partial 16S ribosomal RNA
Rfam family: Bacterial small subunit ribosomal RNA
Source: RNAcentral
UACGUAGGGUGCGAGCGUUGUCCGGAAUUAUUGGGCGUAAAGAGCUCGUAGGCGGUGUGUCACGUCGGCCGUGAAAACCUGCAGCUUAACUGUGGGCGUGCGGUCGAUACGGGCAUCACUGGAGUUCGGCAGGGGAGACUGGAAUUCCUGGUGUAGCGGUGAAAUGCUUAGAUAUCGUCAAGAACACCGAUAGCGAAGGCAGCUUACUAGGCUGUAACUGACGCUGAGGCACGAAAGUGUGGGGAUCAAACAGG